This is a long non-coding RNA of Bicyclus anynana (squinting bush brown), 1392 nucleotides long. RefSeq lists it as uncharacterized. The transcript has 5 exons. The record is from RefSeq and is a predicted model, not a curated record. NCBI's taxonomy places the organism in Eukaryota, Metazoa, Arthropoda, Insecta, Lepidoptera, Nymphalidae.
CAGUGGCUAUAUUUCACAUACGCAAAAUAAAUGGAAUGGAAGAUUCUGAUAUAGAAAACUUUUUGGGUCAGCUACACAAAAGAGGCUUUUCAGCUCACCGUACGCCUUUAGAUCGAUCACUAGAACAGGAGAACACUGCUGAAUAUCAACAACUAAUUGAAAAUAUAGCUCGAACUCCUCAAGUUCAAAUAGGAUACCCUUACAAGGAAAAAGAUUUUAAGGUUAUCAUUAAAAACGAUCACAGGAAUAAAUAUCAAGACUGGCCAUGGACGCAGUAUAUUUAUGUAAAACCCGCGUGGCUGGGUUCGGAUACGCCAAGAAAACAUUCAAUAUAUAAUCUAAAACAUAAAAACAGUAAUAACGAUCUUAGUAAAUACUCCAAAGCGUACUUAGUACUCGAUCCGUAUGCUGAUAUUACUGAGACAGAUGUAAGAGAUUUAAGCAAUAUUGUAUCAUCAGUAUUCCAAAAACCUAGAAAGUCUUCCUUAGAAGAACGAAGCCAAACGAAACGACGUUACAAAGGUUUUUUGGUUAAGGACGAUAAUCGAAGAAGAAUGCGAGAGUCAAAAGAAAUGUAUCUAGAAAAGGAUUCACAAGAGCGUGAAUAUAAACCGAAGAGAUCUCGAGGAGAUUACAACGGCGGCGGCGGGCGGACUCCUAUACCGUACAUUAGACAUCGUGGUGAUAUAUUUGAGAGGGAAUAAAUAAUACAUACACAUAUGUUAGUGUAUCAUCAGUAUUCCAAAAACCUAGAAAGUCUUCCUUAGAAGAACGAAGCCAAACGAAACGACGUUACAAAGGUUUUUUGGUUAAGGACGAUAAUCGAAGAAGAAUGCGAGAGUCAAAAGAAAUGUAUCUAGAAAAGGAUUCACAAGAGCGUGAAUAUAAACCGAAGAGAUCUCGAGGAGAUUACAACGGCGGCGGCGGGCGGACUCCUAUACCGUACAUUAGACAUCGUGGUGAUAUAUUUGAGAGGGAAUAAAUAAUACAUACACAUAUGUUAGGUACUAAAUACCCAUUUUGAUUGUUUUACUUCAACAUUCUAUUUACUAAGGAACGUAGGCGUUCCUUUGCAAUUUAUACUUAAUAAUAUAAAUGCGAAAGUAAGUCUGUCUGUUACCUUUUCACGGCUAAACGGCUGGACUGAUAAUGAUGAAUUUUUGUAUUAUGGUAAUUGGUAGGACAUUGUCCAGAAAGGGCGAAUUCGCCGCGAUUCUGUCGCGCGUCUUACGCGCGACCGUUGCGUCUACAAGGCGCGUAUUACGCGCGAGCAUUUGGGGAGGAAUUCAUUAUGAAACAUGGAGUUGAAUGCGCACUCGCUCUAGAGUUCGCGCGGUAACUGGACGCAACAAGGCGUCGCUAGUACCUCGACUCGCGGGAAAUACGCGCGAA